RNAcentral lists this ribosomal RNA (1343 nucleotides) under uncultured bacterium. RNAcentral describes it as "16S ribosomal RNA". It matches the Rfam family "Bacterial small subunit ribosomal RNA", at positions 28 to 1378 of the family's 1533-position model. The record is from RNAcentral.
GACGAACGCUGGCGGCGUGCUUAACACAUGCAAGUCGAACGGAAAGGCCCUGCUUUUGUGGGGUGCUCGAGUGGCGAACGGGUGAGUAACACGUGAGUAACCUGCCCUUGACUUUGGGAUAACUUCAGGAAACUGGGGCUAAUACCGGAUAGGAGCUCCUGCUGCAUGGUGGGGGUUGGAAAGUUUCGGCGGUUGGGGAUGGACUCGCGGCUUAUCAGCUUGUUGGUGGGGUAGUGGCUUACCAAGGCUUUGACGGGUAGCCGGCCUGAGAGGGUGACCGGCCACAUUGGGACUGAGAUACGGCCCAGACUCCUACGGGAGGCAGCAGUGGGGAAUAUUGCACAAUGGGCGGAAGCCUGAUGCAGCAACGCCGCGUGCGGGAUGACGGCCUUCGGGUUGUAAACCGCUUUCGCCUGUGACGAAGCGUGAGUGACGGUAAUGGGUAAAGAAGCACCGGCUAACUACGUGCCAGCAGCCGCGGUGAUACGUAGGGUGCGAGCGUUGUCCGGAUUUAUUGGGCGUAAAGGGCUCGUAGGUGGUUGAUCGCGUCGGAAGUGUAAUCUUGGGGCUUAACCCUGAGCGUGCUUUCGAUACGGGUUGACUUGAGGAAGGUAGGGGAGAAUGGAAUUCCUGGUGGAGCGGUGGAAUGCGCAGAUAUCAGGAGGAACACCAGUGGCGAAGGCGGUUCUCUGGGCCUUUCCUGACGAUGAGGAGCGAAAGCGUGGGGAGCGAACAGGCUUAGAUACCCUGGUAGUCCACGCUGUAAACGGUGGGUACUAGGUGUGGGGUCCAUUCCACGGGUUCCGUGCCGUAGCUAACGCUUUAAGUACCCCGCCUGGGGAGUACGGCCGCAAGGCUAAAACUCAAAGGAAUUGACGGGGCCCCGCACAAGCGGCGGAGCAUGCGGAUUAAUUCGAUGCAACGCGUAGAACCUUACCUGGGUUUGACAUGGAUCGGGAGUGCUCAGAGAUGGGUGUGCCUCUUUUGGGGUCGGUUCACAGGUGGUGCAUGGCUGUCGUCAGCUCGUGUCGUGAGAUGUUGGGUUAAGUCCCGCAACGAGCGCAACCCUUGUUCACUGUUGCCAGCACGUUAUGGUGGGGACUCAGUGGAGACCGCCGGGGUCAACUCGGAGGAAGGUGGGGAUGACGUCAAGUCAUCAUGCCCCUUAUGUCCAGGGCUUCACGCAUGCUACAAUGGCUGGUACAGAGAGUGGCGAGCCUGUGAGGGUGAGCGAAUCUCGGAAAGCCGGUCUCAGUUCGGAUUGGGGUCUGCAACUCGACCUCAUGAAGUCGGAGUCGCUAGUAAUCGCAGAUCAGCAACGCUGCGGUGAAUACGUUCCCGGG